RNAcentral lists this ribosomal RNA (427 nucleotides) under uncultured bacterium. RNAcentral describes it as "bacterial SSU rRNA". It matches the Rfam family "Bacterial small subunit ribosomal RNA", at positions 12 to 429 of the family's 1533-position model. The record is from RNAcentral.
UUUGAUCCUGGCUCAGAGCGAACGUUAGCGGCGCGCCUAACACAUGCAAGUCGCACGAGAAAGGGGGCAACCCCCGGUACAGUGGCGCACGGGUGAGUAACACGUGGGUGAUCUGCCCAGAAGAAGGGGAUAACCUCUCGAAAGGGGGGCUAAUACCGCAUAGGACCACCGGGGCUUUGGCUCUGUGGUGAAAGGGGGCCUCUGUUUACAAGCUCCUGCUUCUGGAUGAGCCCGCGUCCCAUCAGCUAGUUGGUAGGGUAAUGGCCUACCAAGGCUACGACGGGUAGCUGGUCUAAGAGGAUGGCCAGCCACACUGGAACUGAGACACGGUCCAGACUCCUACGGGAGGCAGCAGUGGGGAAUCUUGCGCAAUGGGCGAAAGCCUGACGCAGCGACGCCGCGUGGGUGACGAAGGCCUCGGUGUAAG